ACUCAAAGGAAUUGACGGGGACCCGCACAAGCAGUGGAGCGUGUGGUUUAAUUCGACGCUAAGCGAAGAACCUUACCGAGGUUUGACAUCCCAGGAAUCCCCUGGAAACAGGGGAGUGCCGCAAGGAGCCUGGUGACAGGUGCUGCAUGGCCGUCGUCAGCUCGUGUCGUGAGAUGUUGGGUUAAGUCCCGCAACGAGCGCAACCCUUGUCGUAUGUUACACAUGUCAUACGAGACUGCCCCGGUCAACGGGGAGGAAGGUGGGGAUGACGUCAGGUCAGCAUGGCCCUUAUACCUCGGGCGACACACGCGCUACAAUGGCCGGUACAACGGGUUGCGAAAUCGCAAGAUGAAGCUAAUCCCAUCAAAGCCGGUCUCAGUUCGGAUUGGGGGCUGCAACUCGCCCCCAUGAAGCCGGAAUUGCUAGUAAACGCGGAUCAGCCACGCCGCGUUGAAUACGUUCUCGGGUCUUGCACACACCGCCCGU
This 486-nucleotide ribosomal RNA is filed under the name uncultured bacterium. RNAcentral's name for it is "partial 16S ribosomal RNA". It matches the Rfam family "Bacterial small subunit ribosomal RNA", at positions 899 to 1397 of the family's 1533-position model. The record is from RNAcentral.